GGAGGUGUAGCUCAAAAUUCUCCAAUUAAUGGUUUGAGCACUUGCGUCUGGCAAGGCUAUCAGGGUUCGAAUCCCUGCAUCUCCA
Molecule: non-coding RNA, 85 nt
Organism: Thalictrum thalictroides
Lineage: Eukaryota; Viridiplantae; Streptophyta; Magnoliopsida; Ranunculales; Ranunculaceae
Source: the annotation of a GenBank genome assembly